AUUGAACGCUGGCGGCAGGCCUAACACAUGCAAGUCGAACGGUAACAGGAAGCAGCUUGCUGCUUUGCUGACGAGUGGCGGACGGGUGAGUAAUGUCUGGGAAACUGCCUGAUGGAGGGGGAUAACUACUGGAAACGGUGGCUAAUACCGCAUAACGUCGCAAGACCAAAGAGGGGGACCUUCGGGCCUCUUGCCAUCAGAUGUGCCCAGAUGGGAUUAGCUUGUUGGUGAGGUAACGGCUCACCAAGGCGACGAUCCCUAGCUGGUCUGAGAGGAUGACCAGCCACACUGGAACUGAGACACGGUCCAGACUCCUACGGGAGGCAGCAGUGGGGAAUAUUGCACAAUGGGCGCAAGCCUGAUGCAGCCAUGCCGCGUGUAUGAAGAAGGCCUUCGGGUUGUAAAGUACUUUCAGCGGGGAGGAAGGUGUUGUGGUUAAUAACCGCAGCAAUUGACGUUACCCGCAGAAGAAGCACCGGCUAACUCCGUGCCAGCAGCCGCGGUAAUACGGAGGGUGCAAGCGUUAAUCGGAAUUACUGGGCGUAAAGCGCACGCAGGCGGUCUGUCAAGUCGGAUGUGAAAUCCCCGGGCUCAACCUGGGAACUGCAUUCGAAACUGGCAGGCUUGAGUCUUGUAGAGGGGGGUAGAAUUCCAGGUGUAGCGGUGAAAUGCGUAGAGAUCUGGAGGAAUACCGGUGGCGAAGGCGGCCCCCUGGACAAAGACUGACGCUCAGGUGCGAAAGCGUGGGGAGCAAACAGGAUUAGAUACCCUGGUAGUCCACGCCGUAAACGAUGUCUACUUGGAGGUUGUGCCCUUGAGGCGUGGCUUCCGGAGCUAACGCGUUAAGUAGACCGCCUGGGGAGUACGGCCGCAAGGUUAAAACUCAAAUGAAUUGACGGGGGCCCGCACAAGCGGUGGAGCAUGUGGUUUAAUUCGAUGCAACGCGAAGAACCUUACCUGGUCUUGACAUCCACAGAACUUUCCAGAGAUGGACUGGUGCCUUCGGGAACUGUGAGACAGGUGCUGCAUGGCUGUCGUCAGCUCGUGUUGUGAAAUGUUGGGUUAAGUCCCGCAACGAGCGCAACCCUUAUCCUUUGUUGCCAGCGAUUAGGUCGGGAACUCAAAGGAGACUGCCAGUGAUAAACUGGAGGAAGGUGGGGAUGACGUCAAGUCAUCAUGGCCCUUACGACCAGGGCUACACACGUGCUACAAUGGCGCAUACAAAGAGAAGCGACCUCGCGAGAGCAAGCGGACCUCAUAAAGUGCGUCGUAGUCCGGAUUGGAGUCUGCAACUCGACUCCAUGAAGUCGGAAUCGCUAGUAAUCGUGGAUCAGAAUGCCACGGUGAAUACGUUCCCGGGCCUUGUACACACCGCCCGUCACACCAUGGGAGUGGGUUGCAAAAGAAGUAGGUAGCUUAACCUUCGGGAGGGCGCUUACCACUUUGUGAUUCAUGACUGGGGUGAAGUCGUAACAAGGUAACCGUAGGGGAACCUGCGGUUGGAUCACCUCCUUACCUUAAAGAAGCGUACUUUGAAGUGCUCACACAGAUUGUCUGAUGAAAAGUGAAUAGCAAGGCGUCUUGCGAUUGAGACUUCAGUGUCCCCUUCGUCUAGAGGCCCAGGACACCGCCCUUUCACGGCGGUAACAGGGGUUCGAAUCCCCUAGGGGACGCCACUUGCGCGGUAAUGUGUGAAAGGCGUUGCCAUCAGUAUCUCAAAACUGACUUACGAGUCACGUUUGAGAUAUUUGCUCUUUAAAAAUCUGGAUCAAGCUGAAAAUUGAAACACAGAACAACGAAAGUUGUUCGUAAGUCUCUCAAAUUUUCGCGACACGAGAAUGUUUUACGAAACAUCUUCGGGUUGUGAGGUUAAGCGACUAAGCGUACACGGUGGAUGCCCUGGCAGUCAGAGGCGAUGAAGGGCGUGCUAAUCUGCGAUAAGCGCCGGUAAGGUGAUAUGAACCGUUAUAACCGGCGAUACCCGAAUGGGGAAACCCAGUGUGACUCGUCACACUAUCAUUAACUGAAUCCAUAGGUUAAUGAGGCGAACCGGGGGAACUGAAACAUCUAAGUACCCCGAGGAAAAGAAAUCAACCGAGAUUCCCCCAGUAGCGGCGAGCGAACGGGGAGGAGCCCAGAGCCUGAAUCAGCAUGUGUGUUAGUGGAAGCGUCUGGAAAGGCGCGCGAUACAGGGUGACAGCCCCGUACACAAAAGCGCAUGUGCUGUGAGCUCGAUGAGUAGGGCGGGACACGUGGUAUCCUGUCUGAAUAUGGGGGGACCAUCCUCCAAGGCUAAAUACUCCUGACUGACCGAUAGUGAACC
This 2323-nucleotide unclassified non-coding RNA is filed under the name uncultured Salmonella sp. Its description in RNAcentral is "bacterial SSU rRNA". The stretch from base 1 to 1515 matches the Rfam family "Bacterial small subunit ribosomal RNA". Lineage: Bacteria; Pseudomonadati; Pseudomonadota; Gammaproteobacteria; Enterobacterales; Enterobacteriaceae. The record is from RNAcentral.